Molecule: long non-coding RNA, 919 nt
Filed under: Daucus carota (carrot)
Lineage: Eukaryota; Viridiplantae; Streptophyta; Magnoliopsida; Apiales; Apiaceae
Description: long non-coding RNA (DCAR_LNC002117)
Source: RNAcentral
GGCGCACUAUGUAACUCCAUAUAAGGAGUCCCUCUCUGGAAUGUUGGCCUAUAUAUAUAUAUAGGCAAGUGCUCAAAUAAGAACCCCAACCAAUGUGAGAUAUGAGAUCUAAUCUCGGCCAUACAUUUUUAUCCCUUAAUUAAAUCACAACCACACAUUUAAAUAUAUAUUUUAUCCUUCAUCUCUUUCCUCCACCACUCUUACCCCACUCCUACCACCACCCAUCCACUACCAACACCACCCACCACCAUCACACACCAACCGCCCCAGUGUUUGCUUCACCUCCAGUAGUCACCUCACCGGAACACCACCACUAAUCUCUCUUUCUCCUUCUCCUUCCCGCCCCCCCUCUCUCAGCACGUCGUCGUUACCGGUACGGCCUGAGUUCCGGCCAUCCCUUCUCCUCACGUCUUCAUCUCUUUUCGUUGCCAUCGCGAUCUCUGUAAAAUGUGCUCAGAUUUGUAAAAGUUGUCGGUGGUGAUUUUUUAUUGUACAUCGGGUGAUCUUCUAUUGAUUCUUGUUGAUUUGUAUUGAUUUUUGGUCACUUUGACUUUUGCCCGGUGAUUAUGUGGCGGUGGUUGUGUUUAGAUGACAGUGGUGGUGUGAAGAUGGUGGUGGUGGCGGAGGAGGCAGGUGUGAUGAUUAAUGGUGGUGUGGUGGAUUUUGUUUAAUUAUGGUGAUUUUUACUGAGAUCUGGUGAUUUCUGCAUGGAUAUGGUGAUUUUCAGGCGGUGGUUGGUGGUAGUGGGCAGUGUGGUGACCUGAGGAGGUGGUGGUGUGGUGGUUUGCUUCUGGUGAUUUUAUGUUUGCAGCGGUAAUUUUUGACUUCCGGUUGCCGAAGGUGAUGGUCGAAAUAUGAAGAAGAUGAAGGUAGGUGAUGAGGAUGUGGGUAAAAUUAAUGAGUGAUGAUGGAUGUUGAU